UUGUUCUCUGUGACUCCCUUUUCUGUCUCCUAUUUUUACCCUCUGACUUACCUGCAUAGCUACUCCUGUACUAAAUGUGUUUCCAAUGAGACCAUUUUCAAUUUCAUCUUGGAAUUUUUCUUCUAGACUUCUGAGCAGAUUUUCUUUAUAUGUAAAGUUUUCACCAGUGGGAUGACAUGCUUCCAAAGCCAGUAUAAUCACAGCAAGUUGUCCCGAGGUGAAAUUUAGAGCUGAAAAGAAAAGUGUUCAAGUUUAACAAGACACAUGCUUGUGAUUUUUUUUGC
RNAcentral lists this long non-coding RNA (284 nucleotides) under Ictidomys tridecemlineatus (thirteen-lined ground squirrel). Its description in RNAcentral is "lncRNA (ENSSTOG00000029983.1)". The record is from RNAcentral. Lineage: Eukaryota; Metazoa; Chordata; Mammalia; Rodentia; Sciuridae.